Aegilops tauschii subsp. strangulata is the source of this 1943-nucleotide non-coding RNA. Lineage: Eukaryota; Viridiplantae; Streptophyta; Magnoliopsida; Poales; Poaceae. The record is from RefSeq and is a predicted model, not a curated record.
GAGAGUCUUCUAGGCACGGCCGGAUGGGAUCCAUCAUUCAUGGGAAUGGGGAAUGUCUUUUCUUGAUAAUGAUCCCAACAAAUCAGAACUGCAAUAUGGUCCUUCUCCUCGUCAGUUCCAAGGUGGGUCUCAAUUUCAAGGGUAUGGGGAAGGGCAAUCGAGCACCUACCACGGAAUUCCCAAAGCCCUCAACAGAAAAAGAAGAACAAAAGCUUCAUUUCUCAGAAGGAGCAACAGGGGAAGUCAAGCAGUGUUGAUAAAGCAGACAGUAAUCGGAAUAGGAAAGAGGAGGUUGUCAUCAAUUAUGAUCCAAAAACGAAGGAUGUGAUGUGUUACAACUGUGGAGAGCCAGCUCACUCUGUUGGGACUUGCCCAGUGCCCAAAAGUUGUUUCAUUUGCCACAAGUCUGGGCAUCACAUGGACAAUUGUGUGGAAUGGUACAAACCUCAAGCUACUGCCCAAUACUAUGGCAGUGCCAAUGCUGGACUGGGCUUCUCCCACAUUGAGUCUGAAACACAAGGAUGUUGUUAAGUGGCUUAAUCUGUCUAAUGUGUGUGUUGCUGUGAUUGAGGAAGGUUCUAUCUCUACUCAAGAACUGAAGCAAACUUCUCUGAAAUCUGGAAAACUAACUGGCCAUGGCAGGUGAGACAGCUGACUGAAAAAUGCUUCCUGGUCGGGUUUGCACCGCAUUAAAAAGUAAAGGAUUCAGUUGAGCUCCCCUCCAUCAAUCACAGAAAAAGGGGGUUACUGUGUCUUUUGACGAAUGGGAUGGUGAAGAGGUUGCUUAUGCUGAGCUUCAGAUGUCUAUGACGGGGAUCCCUGUCAAUAAACUCACAUGGAAAGUUAUCUUGCAAAUUGCAUAUAUCUUGGGCAUCUUGGUUAAUGUUGACUGGCAUGAGAUCUUCAGAAGUUUUUAUGAAAAGGUCAAAGUUCAGGUUGCUAUGAGAGAUGUGUCAAAAAUUCCCUCUGAAAGGCUAGUGGAGAUUGAUAAAGAACUAUUCCUUAUCUCUUUUCUGGUGGAUACAUAACCUGUCUUGGAGGUGGGUAACACCAGGACAGGAGAGAGAGAAAUCUGAUGAGGACUUACUAGAGGGAGAUCCUGAGAAAGAUAUGCAGAUGCAGGGACCAAAAGCUAUGGAGUCUGACAAGAACAAGAACCAAACUGCAGGUGGUCAGCCUCAGAACUCCCACAAAGCUCCCUCUCACUCCAAAACACCUUGGAGUUGACGAACUCUCUGGAAAAAAGGUGCAAAGUGUUAUCUUAGGUCUGAGUGAAGCUAGCAGUAUAAAGAAGGAUGUGCGGCAAAAACAGCCUAUUGAGAACAUUGGUACGCAGUUGCUUGAGCAGUUUGAUGCGGAGUCUGAUGGGGAGGCCACAACCUUAGAGACUCCAACCCAACCGCUUCAACAUCCUUUGGACAAGGCCAAAAUUUGGGGCCCUGUGGUGGCGCCAGAGUGAGUGCUAGAUUAGAAGAGAUGGGAGAACUGCCAUACAGAAGGCUGAAGAUCUCAGAAACUCAAGGACCUGAAGAUACCUAAAGGUGAUUUUGAAGAAGAUAACAGGUUUCUGCAAUCUAUGGAAGAUCUUGUGCAAGGGCGGUGCAAAAGAGCUUGUGGAGAGGUUCACAACAUCUCUGUGGGAGGUUGCCAGAAGACCACCACUGCUGCUCUGGUCAGAACCAGGCUGAGGAAGAGGGAGCUGUGGCUGCAAUACUCUCUGAGGAAAGCGGGGGGAUGGAUAGGUGUAGACAACAUGGUAUCCUAGAGGGAUGACAAAAAUGUGCUCCAAAGAUCCAUCUGUUCUCUCUUGUAGACUUGGCUCCCCCUCGGGUGGUUUAGAACCCGUUUUAUUCUGUUUCCUGCUAGCCUGAAUGUUGACGGGGUUGAUGAUGCAAUCUUCCCUUGCAUGUUGAAAUAAACUGUACUCUGUUUGGUUUCGUUUU